Molecule: ribosomal RNA, 497 nt
Filed under: uncultured bacterium
Lineage: Bacteria
Description: partial 16S ribosomal RNA
Rfam family: Bacterial small subunit ribosomal RNA
Source: RNAcentral
GAUGAACGCUGGCGGCGUGCCUAAUACAUGCAAGUCGAGCGAACAGACGAGGAGCUUGCUUCUCUGACGUUAGCGGCGGACGGGUGAGUAACACGUGGAUAACCUACCUAUAAGACUGGGAUAACUUCGGGAAACCGGAGCUAAUACCGGAUAAUAUAUUGAACCGCAUGGUUCAAUAGUGAAAGACGGUUUUGCUGUCACUUAUAGAUGGAUCCGCGCCGCAUUAGCUAGUUGGUAAGGUAACGGCUUACCAAGGCAACGAUGCGUAGCCGACCUGAGAGGGUGAUCGGCCACACUGGAACUGAGACACGGUCCAGACUCCUACGGGAGGCAGCAGUAGGGAAUCUUACGCAAUGGGCGAAAGCCUGACGGAGCAACGCCGCGUGAGUGAUGAAGGUCUUCGGAUCGUAAAACUCUGUUAUUAGGGAAGAACAAAUGUGUAAGUAACUAUGCACGUCUUGACGGUACCUAAUCAGAAAGCCACGGCUAACUACGUG